RNAcentral lists this ribosomal RNA (669 nucleotides) under uncultured Actinomycetes bacterium. RNAcentral's name for it is "bacterial SSU rRNA". It matches the Rfam family "Bacterial small subunit ribosomal RNA", at positions 231 to 873 of the family's 1533-position model. The record is from RNAcentral. Lineage: Bacteria; Bacillati; Actinomycetota; Actinomycetes.
UCGCGGCCUAUCAGCUUGUUGGUGAGGUAACGGCUCACCAAGGCAUCGACGGGUAGCUGGUCUGAGAGGAUGAUCAGCCACACUGGGACUGAGACACGGCCCAGACUCCUACGGGAGGCAGCAGUGGGGAAUAUUGCACAAUGGGCGCAAGCCUGAUGCAGCAACGCCGCGUGCGGGAAGACGGCCCUAGGGUUGUAAACCGCUUUCAGCAGGGAAGAAAAUGACGGUACCUGCAGAAGAAGGUGCGGCCAACUACGUGCCAGCAGCCGCGGUGACACGUAGGCACCAAGCGUUGUCCGGAUUUAUUGGGCGUAAAGAGCUCGUAGGCGGUUCAGUAAGUCGGGUGUGAAAACUCUGGGCUCAACCCAGAGAGGCCACCCGAUACUGCUGUGACUUGAGUACGGUAGGGGAGUGGGGAAUUCCUGGUGUAGCGGUGAAAUGCGCAGAUAUCAGGAGGAACACCAGUGGCGAAGGCGCCACUCUGGGCCGAAACUGACGCUGAGGAGCGAAAGCGUGGGUAGCAAACAGGAUUAGAUACCCUGGUAGUCCACGCCGUAAACGUUGGGCACUAGGUGUGGGUCUCAACCAACGAGAUCCGCGCCGUCGCUAACGCAUUAAGUGCCCCGCCUGGGGAGUACGGAAUCUAGAGCAUCGCGAGUCGUGGGAAGG